This 581-nucleotide ribosomal RNA is filed under the name uncultured Actinomycetes bacterium. Its description in RNAcentral is "bacterial SSU rRNA". It matches the Rfam family "Bacterial small subunit ribosomal RNA", at positions 576 to 1153 of the family's 1533-position model. Lineage: Bacteria; Bacillati; Actinomycetota; Actinomycetes. The record is from RNAcentral.
UGGUUGAUCGCGUCGGAAGUGUAAUCUUGGGGCUUAACCCUGAGCGUGCUUUCGAUACGGGUUGACUUGAGGAAGGUAGGGGAGAAUGGAAUUCCUGGUGGAGCGGUGGAAUGCGCAGAUAUCAGGAGGAACACCAGUGGCGAAGGCGGUUCUCUGGGCCUUUCCUGACGCUGAGGAGCGAAAGCGUGGGGAGCGAACAGGCUUAGAUACCCUGGUAGUCCACGCUGUAAACGGUGGGUACUAGGUGUGGGGUCCAUUCCACGGGUUCCGCGCCGUAGCUAACGCUUUAAGUACCCCGCCUGGGGAGUACGGCCGCAAGGCUAAAACUCAAAGGAAUUGACGGGGCCCCGCACAAGCAGCGGAGCAUGCGGAUUAAUUCGAUGCAACGCGUAGAACCUUACCUGGGUUUGACAUGGAUCGGGAGUGCUCAGAGAUGGGUGUGCCUCUUUUGGGGUCGGUUCACAGGUGGUGCAUGGCUGUCGUCAGCUCGUGUCGUGAGAUGUUGGGUUAAGUCCCGCAACGAGCGCAACCCUUGUUCACUGUUGCCAGCACGUUAUGGUGGGGACUCAGUGGAGACCGCC